AGCAGCCGCGGUAAUUCCAGCUCCAAUAGCGUAUAUUAAAGUUGUUGCAGUUAAAAGCUGUAGUUGAAUAUCAGGCCUGGCGAGUGGGGAUUUUUAUUGGUACGCACCUUCGGGUGUGUUUUAACUGAUUGCCUCAAUUUUUAGUCAGGCCUUUAACUCCUUCUAGGGGAACCAGCGGCUCUUUAACUGGGGUGCGUUUGGGGAUCUAGGACUUUUACUUUGAAAAACUUAGAGUGUUAA
RNAcentral lists this ribosomal RNA (240 nucleotides) under uncultured Glomeromycotina. RNAcentral describes it as "partial small subunit ribosomal RNA". It matches the Rfam family "Eukaryotic small subunit ribosomal RNA", at positions 569 to 777 of the family's 1831-position model. Lineage: Eukaryota; Fungi; Glomeromycota. The record is from RNAcentral.